CUUUCAGCCAUCUUGGAAUUUGUAUGUAAACAAUCUGCAAUAUUUUGCAAUUUCUUUUUUUUUUGCUCUUUGUGUCUGGAAUUGUAUUGGUGGGAAUAAGAGAAUUGAAAAGUUGAAAGCUCAAGAGAAUAAAUCGACUCUCAGUGUCGGUUGGUGAUGGAGAUAUUUUACCCGCGUUUUGCAGCUAGAGACGUCGGUUAAUCGUUCGAUUAAUUCAAAUAAUCGAAUAUCUGUAACAGUAAUUUUAUACCAAAUAAUGAAAAAUCAAGAAAAUACAGUGUAAAAUUUGUUUAACCGUCAUGGUGUUUCGUCGAAAUUCAUAGAAUAUGCUAAAUCAUUUACAGUAGAAGCUUGAUUCCUAGGUGGUGGAGGAGACUGGGAAGAAGAAUUCAGGGUCUGCAGGAGUAAAAUGCGGACUUGAAGAAGGUGGUCUCAGCUCCCGUUCUAAAAUAGUAGUAGUCAAAUUCAGAGCGCCGAGGAAAAAAUACCAUACUAGUGAUCAAUGAUUCUAUGACCAAGCAGAGAUAUUCAAACAAAUCAGCUAUUUCAACAAACAACAUUCGAAGAACAGAUAAUUUUUGAACAGCUUCGCCGUCCACCUCCUCCAGCACGUUAGGCAACGAUGUUGUCUUGUCGAUGUUCUCACGAAAAAUGAAUGUGUCUCACCACCAGAAUAUCGCUUAAGUAUGCUUUUUGUGUGUGAUUGAAUCGAGAGAAGGUGUGGUUUACGAUGGCAAUUUGGAAGGCAAACUAGAGGGGAAUGAACUCUCUGAGCUCGGAACUUUCGGCGACUGAGCAAUAAUCGAUUGCGGGCGCAUACAAUAUUGGAUACGGAAAUA
This is a long non-coding RNA of Toxorhynchites rutilus septentrionalis, 839 nucleotides long. RefSeq lists it as uncharacterized. The record is from RefSeq and is a predicted model, not a curated record. NCBI's taxonomy places the organism in Eukaryota, Metazoa, Arthropoda, Insecta, Diptera, Culicidae. The transcript is spliced from 3 exons.